RNAcentral lists this ribosomal RNA (239 nucleotides) under uncultured Sphingobacteriales bacterium. RNAcentral describes it as "partial 16S ribosomal RNA". It matches the Rfam family "Bacterial small subunit ribosomal RNA", at positions 1144 to 1382 of the family's 1533-position model. The record is from RNAcentral. Lineage: Bacteria; Pseudomonadati; Bacteroidota; Sphingobacteriia; Sphingobacteriales.
CGGGACUGCCACCGUAAGGUGAGAGGAAGUGGGGAUGACGUCAAAUCAGCACGGCCCUUAUGGUCCAGGGCUACACACGUGUUACAAUGGCCGGUACAGAGGGCAGCUACCUGGUGACAGGAUGCUAAUCCCGAAAGCCGGUCCCGGUUCGGAUUGGAGUCUGCAACCCGACUCCAUGAAGUUGGAUUCGCUAGUAAUCGCGCAUCAGCCAUGGCGCGGUGAAUACGUUCCCGGGCCUU